Molecule: ribosomal RNA, 283 nt
Filed under: uncultured bacterium
Lineage: Bacteria
Description: partial 16S ribosomal RNA
Rfam family: Bacterial small subunit ribosomal RNA
Source: RNAcentral
UAGAUACCCGGGUAGUCCACGCCGUAAACGAUGUCUACUAGCCGUUGGGACCCUUGAGGUUUUAGUGGCGCAGCUAACGCAAUAAGUAGACCGCCUGGGGAGUACGGUCGCAAGAUUAAAACUCAAAUGAAUUGACGGGGGCCCGCACAAGCGGUGGAGCAUGUGGUUUAAUUCGAAGCAACGCGAAGAACCUUACCAAGACUUGACAUCCUGAUAGCUUUCUAGAAAUAGAUUGGUGCCUUCGGGAAAUCAGAGACAGGUGCUGCAUGGCCGCCGUCAGAAG